AUUGAACGCUGGCGGAAUGCUAUACACAUGCAAGUCGAACGGCAGCACGGACUUCGGUCUGGUGGCGAGUGGCGAACGGGUGAGUAAUGUAUCGGAACGUGCCCAGUCGGGGGGGAUAACGUAGUGAAAAUUACGCUAAUACCGCAUACGAUCUAUGGAUGAAAGCGGGGGAUCGCAAGACCUCGCGCGAUUGGAGAGGCCGAUAUCAGAUUAGGUAGUUGGUGGGGUAAAGGCCCACCAAGCCAACGAUCUGUAGCUGGUCUGAGAGGACGACCAGCCACACUGGAACUGAGACACGGUCCAGACUCCUACGGGAGGCAGCAGUGGGGAAUUUUGGACAAUGGGCGAAAGCCUGAUCCAGCCAUUCCGCGUGCAGGAUGAAGGCCCUCGGGUUGUAAACUGCUUUUGUACAGAACGAAAAGGUUUCUACUAAUACUAGGAGCUCAUGACGGUACUGUAAGAAUAAGCACCGGCUAACUACGUGCCAGCCGCCGCCGUAA
RNAcentral lists this ribosomal RNA (500 nucleotides) under uncultured bacterium. Its description in RNAcentral is "partial 16S ribosomal RNA". It matches the Rfam family "Bacterial small subunit ribosomal RNA", at positions 30 to 523 of the family's 1533-position model. The record is from RNAcentral.